Long non-coding RNA from Chenopodium quinoa (quinoa), 855 nucleotides. RefSeq lists it as uncharacterized. NCBI's taxonomy places the organism in Eukaryota, Viridiplantae, Streptophyta, Magnoliopsida, Caryophyllales, Amaranthaceae. The transcript is spliced from 4 exons. The record is from RefSeq and is a predicted model, not a curated record.
CCUUAUGGUAAUUUUCAUUGCAAUAGACGGGGUACAAAACCGUCAAUGAGAGACGGUGAGAAGACAGAGAGAUCGCCGGAAACGUGUGUUUCGACCCUUUUCUCCGACAAAAUGUUAUCGCCGCCAUUUACAAUUCUCUGAAGCGUCACUUUCCGAUAAAUGCAAACCCUUAAUUAUCACUCUCUUCUUUACAAGGAAGUGGACGUGCCGGAGUGGUUAUCGGGCAUGACUAGAAAUCAUGUGGGCUUUGCCCGCGCAGGAUGAUAAUAGAGGAGCUAUACUUUGGGUGAAAGAGUUUCAGGUCAUCAGUUGAAGUCAUGGUGGUGGCUCAUACUUAUGAUUGAUCGCCUUUGUGUUGCUAGAAUUACGGGAACUUUCCAAUACGAAGUGGACAUGCUGGAGUGGUUAUCGGGGAUGACUUGAAAUCUUGUGGGCUCUGCCAGCGCAGGUUCGAAUUGUGCCGUUCACGCUUCUUAGUUUGACACAGCCAUUUGAUUACUGAAUGAUUUGUGAUAGCUGACUCAAAUUUUAAUGUACUUUCUUUUCAUUCGGUCUCAAAUAUGAAUGAAAAUUGUUGAAGCAGUUUAGUGAUAGGCUGAUACUUGUGUUGUAUGGCUGGGGUGGUUGUUCGGGGUGGUAUGGAAGUGGGAGACAGAUGAAGCACAUUGUAUAAGUUAGAUUCCUCCCACUUCUAUCUUACUGAUUUGAAGUUUGUGUUUCUCUAUUUUACAGACUUCUCCUGCUCCUCAGACUUGUAAUACACUUGAAGAUCAUGGCUUGUAUGUUUUCUAGUGGGGGUAGAAGAUGCAUAUUGGCUGAUUUGGAUCUCAUACUAGUCAUAAUGGAACAUAUGUA